Molecule: ribosomal RNA, 735 nt
Filed under: uncultured Bacteroidales bacterium
Lineage: Bacteria; Pseudomonadati; Bacteroidota; Bacteroidia; Bacteroidales
Description: bacterial SSU rRNA
Rfam family: Bacterial small subunit ribosomal RNA
Source: RNAcentral
GAUGAACGCUAGCUACAGGCUUAACACAUGCAAGUCGAGGGGCAGCAUUUUAGUUUGCUUGCAAACUGAAGAUGGCGACCGGCGCACGGGUGAGUAACACGUAUCCAACCUGCCGAUAACUCCGGAAUAGCCUUUCGAAAGAAAGAUUAAUACCGGAUAGCAUACGAAUAUCGCAUGAUAUUUUUAUUAAAGAAUUUCGGUUAUCGAUGGGGAUGCGUUCCAUUAGUUUGUUGGCGGGGUAACGGCCCACCAAGACUACGAUGGAUAGGGGUUCUGAGAGGAAGGUCCCCCACAUUGGAACUGAGGCACGGUCCAAACUCCUACGGGAGGCAGCAGUGAGGAAUAUUGGUCAAUGGGCGAGAGCCUGAACCAGCCAAGUAGCGUGGGGGAUGAAGGCUCUAUGGGUCGUAAACUUCUUUUAUAUGGGAAUAAAGUUUUCCACGUGUGGAAUUUUGUAUGUACCAUAUGAAUAAGGAUCGGCUAACUCCGUGCCAGCAGCCGCGGUAAUACGGAGGAUCCGAGCGUUAUCCGGAUUUAUUGGGUUUAAAGGGAGCGUAGGUGGAUUGUUAAGUCAGUUGUGAAAGUUUGCGGCUCAACCGUAAAAUUGCAGUUGAAACUGGCAGUCUUGAGUACAGUAGAGGUGGGCGGAAUUCGUGGUGUAGCGGUGAAAUGCUUAGAUAUCACGAAGAACUCCGAUUGCGAAGGCAGCUCACUAGACUGUCACUGACACUGAUG